RNAcentral lists this transfer RNA (59 nucleotides) under Heterocephalus glaber (naked mole-rat). It matches the Rfam family "tRNA", at positions 7 to 64 of the family's 71-position model. From Rfam's summary of the family: Transfer RNA (tRNA) molecules are approximately 80 nucleotides in length. Their secondary structure includes four short double-helical elements and three loops (D, anti-codon, and T loops). The record is from Rfam by way of RNAcentral. Lineage: Eukaryota; Metazoa; Chordata; Mammalia; Rodentia; Bathyergidae.
GUGGCUCAGUGGCAGAGUACCUGCCUAGCAUGCAGGAGGGCCUGAGUUUGAUCCCCAGC